GCCCGGCUGGCACAAUUGGUUAGCGCGUGAGACUUUUAAGGCAUAUAUGCCAAGGGAUCUCAAGGUUGAGAGUUCGAGCCUCUCGUCGGGCG
This is a transfer RNA of Coniosporium apollinis CBS 100218, 92 nucleotides long. It matches the Rfam family "tRNA". From Rfam's summary of the family: Transfer RNA (tRNA) molecules are approximately 80 nucleotides in length. Their secondary structure includes four short double-helical elements and three loops (D, anti-codon, and T loops). The record is from Rfam. NCBI's taxonomy places the organism in Eukaryota, Fungi, Ascomycota, Dothideomycetes.